Molecule: ribosomal RNA, 468 nt
Filed under: uncultured bacterium
Lineage: Bacteria
Description: partial 16S ribosomal RNA
Rfam family: Bacterial small subunit ribosomal RNA
Source: RNAcentral
GACGAACGCUGGCGGCGUGCUUAACUCAUGCAAGUCGAACGGAAAGGCCCUGCUUUUGUGGGGUGCUCGAGUGGCGAAUGGGUGAGUAACACGUGAGUAACCUGCCCUUGACUUUGGGAUAACUUCAGGAAACUGGGGCUAAUACCGGAUAGGAGCUCCUGCUGCAUUGUGGGGGUUGGAAAGUUUCGGCGGUCGGGGAUGGACUCGCGGCUUAUCAGCUUGUUGGUGGGGUAGUGGCUUACCAAGGCUUUGACGGGUAGCCGGACUGAGAGGGUGACCGGCCACAUUGGGACUGAGAUACGGCCCAGACUCCUACGGGAGGCAGCAGUGGGGAAUAAUGCAGAAUGGGCGGAAGCCUGAUGCAGCAACGCCGAGGGCGGGAUGACGGCCUUCGGGUUGUAAACCGCUUUCGCCGGUGACGAAGCGUGAGUGACGGUAAUGGGGACAGAAGCACCGGCUAACUACGUG